ACAAUACUCUGUAGAGUGCGGUGAACGCCGCACGCCGAAGGUGCAACCUGCGCGGUACAGUCAUUGAUGCCGGGGCGGGGAAUCUCUCAGGUGCGCAAACAGAGGCAC
This 108-nucleotide non-coding RNA is filed under the name human gut metagenome. Its description in RNAcentral is "Glycine riboswitch". It matches the Rfam family "Glycine riboswitch aptamer", at positions 9 to 86 of the family's 94-position model. From Rfam's summary of the family: This family represents the bacterial glycine riboswitch. The record is from RNAcentral.